Molecule: non-coding RNA, 45 nt
Organism: Schistosoma rodhaini
Lineage: Eukaryota; Metazoa; Platyhelminthes; Trematoda; Strigeidida; Schistosomatidae
Source: Rfam
AUCCAGCUGGCGAGUCCCGAAUAGGACGAAACACGCCUCCUGAAU